UAAGCUAUUGUUGCUAAUAUGGCGUUGGU
Molecule: non-coding RNA, 29 nt
Filed under: Bombyx mori (domestic silkworm)
Lineage: Eukaryota; Metazoa; Arthropoda; Insecta; Lepidoptera; Bombycidae
Source: RNAcentral